AGUGAACGCUGGCGGUAGGCCUAACACAUGCAAGUCGAACGGCAGCACAGUAAGAGCUUGCUCUUACGGGUGGCGAGUGGCGGACGGGUGAGGAAUACAUCGGAAUCUACUUUUUCGGGGGGGAUAACGGAGGGAAACUUACGCUAAUACCGCAUACGACCUACGGGUGAAAGCAGGGGAUCUUCGGACCUUGCGCGACUGAAUGAGCCGAUGUCGGAUUAGCUAGUUGGCGGGGUAAAGGCCCACCAAGGCGACGAUCCGUAGCUGGUCUGAGAGGAUGAUCAGCCACACUGGAACUGAGACACGGUCCAGACUCCUACGGGAGGCAGCAGUGGGGAAUAUUGCGCAAUGGGCGAAAGCCUGAUCGAGCCAUGCCGCGUGGGUGAUGAAGGUCUUCGGAUUGUAAAGCCCUUUUGUUAGGAAAGAACAGCAGUGUGAUUAUCCACCGCCGUUCUGACGGUACCCAAAGAAUAAGCCCCGGCUAACUUCGUG
RNAcentral lists this ribosomal RNA (492 nucleotides) under uncultured bacterium. RNAcentral's name for it is "partial 16S ribosomal RNA". It matches the Rfam family "Bacterial small subunit ribosomal RNA", at positions 29 to 507 of the family's 1533-position model. The record is from RNAcentral.